RNAcentral lists this long non-coding RNA (604 nucleotides) under Homo sapiens (human). RNAcentral describes it as "non-protein coding lnc-LMLN-3:3". The record is from RNAcentral. Lineage: Eukaryota; Metazoa; Chordata; Mammalia; Primates; Hominidae.
GCCCCUCCCACGCGGACAGAGGUCAGCCCGAGCCCCUUGUCUCACACCGGCCCCUCCCAUGCUGAGAGAGGUCAGCGUGCCCCUUGUCUCACACCGGCCCCUCCCACGCUGAGAGAGGUCAGCCCAAGCCCCUUGCCUCACACCGGCCCCUCCCACGCGGACAGAGGUCAGCCCGAGCUCCUUGCCUCACACCGGCCCCUCCCACGCUGAGAGAGGUCAGUGUGAGCCCUUGCCUCACACCGGCCCCUCCCACGCGGACAGAGGUCAGCGUGAGCCCCUUGCCUCACACCGGCCCCUCCCUUGUCUCACACCGGCCCCUCCCACGCGGACAGAGGUCAGCGUGAGCCCCUUGCCUCACACCGGCCCCUCCCACGCUGAGAGAGGUCAGUGUGAGCCCUUGCCUCACACCGGCCCCUCCCACGCGGACAGAGGUCAGCGUGAGCCCCUUGCCUCACACCGGCCCCUCCCACGCUGAGAGAGGUCGGUGUGAGCCCUUGCCUCACACCGGCCCCUCCCACGCGGACAGAGGUCAGCGUGAGCCCCUUGCCUCACCCCGGCCCCUCCCACGCUGAGAGAGGUCAGUGUGAGCCCUUGCCUCACACCG